This 2280-nucleotide ribosomal RNA is filed under the name Triticum aestivum (bread wheat). Its description in RNAcentral is "partial small subunit ribosomal RNA". The record is from RNAcentral. Lineage: Eukaryota; Viridiplantae; Streptophyta; Magnoliopsida; Poales; Poaceae.
AUGGCUUUCUUCAUCAAGCACGUGAGAUGGGUGGUCUUGCGUCUCAAUGCUCUCCUGGUGACUAAUGCCAUCUUGAUGGCAGUCAUAGCCGGGUUAGGCACCUAUGGGCAUCACUAUCGCCACCAUCCUUUGAUCCGCUUCCUCUACCUAGGAGCCAUCACCUUGUUCCUGCCCAUUGUAUCUGAUGUCGUCUCCACCAUCCAAAAUCCUUACACCAUCACUGUUUACCCAAAACACGACCGAGUCAUAUUAUCAAACUGUGAAGCAGACGGCCAUGUCUUCCUGGUCAUAUUGUGGAUCGGUCUUGUUCAGAUCGUUGGUGCCAACACCAUAACAAUAGUGGCCGGCGAUUCUAGAGAAGGUCGAAGCAUUGCACCCCCUGCAGUGCAACUUGUUAAAGCAAUCUGGACUUCCUACCUGGCCUACAUGAUGAUAGAAUCAGGUCUAGAGCCAUAUGGAUAUAAUGUCAAAUGGUCUCAAGAUCGGCAGCUUUCUCUCUUAGAUAUUCUCCUUCUUGCACUACCAUAUGCUCUUAUUUUGGCCAAAUUGCUUUUCAAGUACUAUGCAUGGUACAAGGCCUCGCGAUCAUUAGCGUUUGGACGCAAUCCGCGCCUCAUUGUUGGAUACAUGGAGAAGCUACAAGUAGGAACCCAUUAUGCUGAGUUAACAAUAAGUGAGCAUGAUGUACCUCCUCCACUCAUAGUUAUGGGAGAGGACACUGUAUUGGUAGAGAAGCAACCUCAUGGUUACAACCUGGCAGGGAUGAACAUCAACAAUGGCUUAUUGACCAUCGACACAGUUUGGCAGUUGGAUGACACAUUAUUGCUUUGGAGAUCAAAAGAUUUGUGCCUUGCAUUCGCAUUGUUCAAGAUGCUACGGUGUCGGUUUGCAAGGUACACAAUUAAUGAGGCUGGCUUUGCGAAAGCCAGUAACUUUAUACGGCAUGUGUUGCUCGAGGAUAGUGAUGAUGAAAGGGUUCUUGGCUUGAUUACAAAUGAGCUUUCGUUUCUUCAUGAUUACUAUUUUUCAUAUCUCCCAGUCACUUAUUCAGAGAGUUGGCUACCCUUCUUGAGUGUAUCUAUUUCACUCUCAAGCAUCGGCUACUGCUUAUUUGUCAUCACCUUUUUGGUAACAACUUUCCGAGGUUACAGUGCUCUAGAUUAUGAGCAGAUUUAUUGUCAUCCGGUACAUUGCCAUCCUGUAUCCGAUUCUACAUAUACGUUUACGAGUGAUAGUAAAGCAGAGGUGAGUUUUGGAAGAUUGUUGUUUGAUGUUUUGCCAGUGUGUCUACUUGGGACACUAGGUGUGCUUGUUGAAGCGAGGGAGAUUGCUUCUUACAUCUGCUCCAACUGGACUAAAGUAGCCCUGAUUUGUGGCUAUGUAAAGCAUACUUCUUGGCAGCAAUCUCCGAUGAUCCGUAAAUGCAUUGGCCAUGUUCUGCACACCAGGUGCAAGCUCUUGGAUAGAUGGGAGGACAAGAUGUACCAGUGCUCAAUCCUAGUGCUCCACCCAAGUAGAAAUCCAAUUACUCUUCUUCGACGUAUCCUUCAUCUGCCGGACCAGAAGAUGAAGGUGCCAACAGCAGUGAAGGCGGCCGUUCUCGAUGUGGUGAGAAUGAACCAAAGAAAUAAGCUCGGAAACAACGGCGCAACACCUCGGCGGCUGCAAGUCGGCAGCGACCUCCUCUGGACAUUCCAUGAAGCCAAGGGCGCAGCCGAUGCCAUGCUCGUGUGUCACGUUGCCACAAGCAUCCUUGAAAUGACAAGAUCACGAGAACAACUUCCCUCCGACCAUGAGAUCGUCGCCACUCACCUCUCGCGGUAUUGCGCCUAUUUGGUGGCAUGUUGUCCCAAGCUCCUUCCCGACGACCACGUGUGGUGCAGGAGCUUGUAUAAGGCUGUCAAGAAGGAUGCUGGGCGCGUCCUCGCCGGCCACGACAUUACGGUGUCGUCGUCGGAAGCGGAGCACCGGCGGCUGGUGGAGCUGCUGAGGGCACGGUCCAAGCACCAGGUCCUCAAGGAUGGUGCGGAGCUCGGGCAACGGCUGGCUGAGCUGCCUAAAGGAGAGGAGGUGGCGUGGAAGGCCCUCGCCGGCUUCUGGACGGAGAUGAUCGUCAGCGUCGCCGCUACUUGUGACAACAUCGACGAGCACGCGGAGGCCGUCGCCCGGGGCGGGGAGCUGGUAACGCUACUCUGGGCGUUGCUCGCCCAUGUCGGGAGCGUCGACGACGACACCGCCACAGCUGCCGCUGCCACUCAUGGUGCUCCCGAUGCUGUUUAA